GUUGUUGUAGUAUAGUGGUGAAUAUCCUUGCUUGUCACGCGGGAGACCUGGGUUUGAUCCCUGGCAACGGUG
This 72-nucleotide transfer RNA is filed under the name Ipomoea nil (Japanese morning glory). It matches the Rfam family "tRNA". From Rfam's summary of the family: Transfer RNA (tRNA) molecules are approximately 80 nucleotides in length. Their secondary structure includes four short double-helical elements and three loops (D, anti-codon, and T loops). The record is from Rfam by way of RNAcentral. Lineage: Eukaryota; Viridiplantae; Streptophyta; Magnoliopsida; Solanales; Convolvulaceae.